This 424-nucleotide ribosomal RNA is filed under the name uncultured archaeon. Its description in RNAcentral is "bacterial SSU rRNA". It matches the Rfam family "Archaeal small subunit ribosomal RNA", at positions 1 to 441 of the family's 1478-position model. The record is from RNAcentral.
UCCGCUUGAUCCUGCCGGAGGCGACCGCUUUUGGAGUUCGAUUUAGCCAUGCGAAUCGAGAGCCUUAGGGACUCGGCAUAAUGCAUCAGUUACACGUGGAUAACCUGCCUUAUUGUCUGGAUAGACCUCGGGAGACUGAGAACAAGUCCGGAUACGCCCACUAUGCCUGGAACGGUUUGUGGCAGAAAAUAGGAUGGGUCUGCGGCGUAUCAGGUUGUAGGGGGUGUAAUGGACCUCCUAGCCAUCGACGCGUACGGGUGUUGGGAGACAUAGCCCGGAGAUGGAUUCUGAGACACGAAUCCAGACCCUACGGGGUGCAGCAGGCGCGAAAACUUCACACUGCAGGAAACUGUGAUGAGGGAACUCCAAGUGCUAUCACUAUGUGGUAGCUUUUCUUGACUAUUAAUCGGUCAUGGAAUAAGGG